CUCUUCUCCGACUCCGCCAUCCUCUCCCCCUACGCCACCGCGCCGGACGAUAUCGUGCGGGGGUUCGCGUCCGCCGCCGAGCUGCCCGACCCUCUCUGGCGCGCCGGGGUCGACCCGCCGCUGAUGCCCGUCUCCGCCGACCUGGCCGCGGACGCUCUGCUCGGCGCGGUCACCGACGAUGCCGCGCAGCAGGCCCUGAUGGACGCGGACAUGCCCACCACGUUCCCAGCCGACGCGACCGGCGUCGAGGAGUCCGUGGCCCGGUUCAUCGACAAGCUCAGCAAGCAGAUAUUCCAGGCGGAGGACGCGCUCACCGAAGGGUACGACAAGCUCAGGCUGUCGGCGUACGACGCCCUCGGGGCCUACAGGAGGGCGAUAAGGGG
Molecule: long non-coding RNA, 383 nt
Filed under: Hordeum vulgare
Lineage: Eukaryota; Viridiplantae; Streptophyta; Magnoliopsida; Poales; Poaceae
Description: long non-coding RNA (HVUL_LNC007869)
Source: RNAcentral